GACGAACGCUGGCGGCGUGCUUAACACAUGCAAGUCGAACGGAAAGACCCUGCUUUUGUUGGGUGCUCGAGUGGCGAACGGGUGAGUAACACGUGAGUAACCUGCCCUUGACUUUGGGAUAACUUCAGGAAACUGGGGCUAAUACCGGAUAGGAGCUCCUGCUGCAUGGUGGGGGUUGGAAAGUUUCGGCGGUUGGGGAUGGACUCGCGGCUUAUCAGCUUGUUGGUGGGGUAGUGGCUUACCAAGGCUUUGACGGGUAGCCGGCCUGAGAGGGUGACCGGCCACAUUGGGCCUGCGAUACGGCCCAGACUCCUACGGGAGGCAGCAGUGGGGAAUAUUGCACAAUGGGCGGAAGCCUGAUGCAGCAACGCCGCGUGCGUGAUGACGGCCUUCGGGUUGUAAACCGCUUUCGCCUGUGACGAAGCGUGAGUGACGGUAAUGGGUAAAGAAGCACCGGCUAACUACGUG
Molecule: ribosomal RNA, 468 nt
Filed under: uncultured bacterium
Lineage: Bacteria
Description: partial 16S ribosomal RNA
Rfam family: Bacterial small subunit ribosomal RNA
Source: RNAcentral